UACAGAGGUCCCAAGCGUUGUUCGGAUUCAUUGGGCGUAAAGGGUGCGUAGGUGGCGCGCUAAGUCAGGUGUGAAAUUUCGGAGCUUAACUCCGAAACUGCAUUUGAUACUGGCGUGCUUGAGGACUGGAGAGGAGACUGGAAUUUACGGUGUAGCAGUGAAAUGCGUAGAGAUCGUAAGGAAGACCAGUGGCGAAGGCGGGUCUCUGGACAGUGCCUGACACUGAGACACGAAGGCCAGGGGAGCAAACGGG
RNAcentral lists this ribosomal RNA (253 nucleotides) under uncultured bacterium. Its description in RNAcentral is "partial 16S ribosomal RNA". It matches the Rfam family "Bacterial small subunit ribosomal RNA", at positions 524 to 776 of the family's 1533-position model. The record is from RNAcentral.